GAUGAAGUACGCAGCGAAAUGCGAUAAGUAAUGUGAAUUGCAGAAUUCAGUGAAUCAUCGAAUCUUUGAACGCACAUUGCGCCCCCUGGUAUUCCGGGGGGCAUGCCUGUUCGAGCGUCAUUUCACCACUCAAGCCUCGCUUGGUAUUGGGCAACGCGGUCCGCCGCGUGCCUCAAAUCGACCGGCUGGGUCUUCUGUCCCCUAAGCGUUGUGGAAACUAUUCGCUAAAGGGUGUUCGGGAGGCUACGCCGUAAAACAACCCCAUUUCUAAGGUUGACCUCGGAUCAGGUAGGGAUACCCGCUGAACUUAAGCAUAUCAAUAAGCGGAGGA
RNAcentral lists this unclassified non-coding RNA (331 nucleotides) under soil metagenome. RNAcentral describes it as "partial contains 5.8S ribosomal RNA, internal transcribed spacer 2, and large subunit ribosomal RNA". The stretch from base 1 to 120 matches the Rfam family "5.8S ribosomal RNA", at positions 35 to 154 of the family's 154-position model. The record is from RNAcentral.